RNAcentral lists this long non-coding RNA (4729 nucleotides) under Citrus x clementina. Its description in RNAcentral is "Citrus clementina (C. clementina) long non-coding RNA (CCLE_LNC004759)". Lineage: Eukaryota; Viridiplantae; Streptophyta; Magnoliopsida; Sapindales; Rutaceae. The record is from RNAcentral.
GCCAGCCCCACGCCCCAAGGCUAUAGCCCACCCGUUUUUGUGGCCUUUUUCCGCUCGACGAACUUGGCGCCCCAGCCUUCGGGCGGUUAUUUUUUGGCGCGGCUUUGACCGCAGCCUAUUUUUGGCACACGGAGGCCCCUUGCAAAGUCUCGCGGCAUUCCGAGUCCGGCGGACGAAGUUGGCGAGCCCCACCCCCCAAGGCUAUAGCCCACCCGUUUUUGUGGGCUUUUUCCGCUGGACGAACUUGGCGCCCCGGCUUUCGGGCAGUUAUUUUUGGGCGCGGCUUUGCCCGUGGCCUGUUUUUAGUACACGGAGGCCCCUCGCAAAGUCUCGCGGCAUUCCCAGUCCGGCGGACGAAGUGGGCCAGCCCCACCCCCCAAGCCUAUAGCCCGUCCGUUUUUGUGGCCUUUUUCCGCUGGACGAACUUGGCGCCCCGGCCUUCGGGCGGUUAUUUUUUGGCGUAGCUUUGCCCGCGGCCUAUUUUUGGCACACGGAGGAGCAUCACAAGGCCUCGCGCCAUUCCGAGUCCGGCGGACGAAGUCGGCCAGCCCCACCCCCCAAGGCUAUAGCCCACCCGUUAUUGUGGCCUUUUUCCGUUGGACGAACUUGCCGCCCCGGCCUUCGGGUGGUUAUUUUUAGGCGUGACUGUGCCCGCGGCCUAUUUUUGGCACACGGAGGUGCCUUGCAAAGUCUCGUGGCAUUCCGAGUCCGGCGGACGAAAUUGGCCAGCCCCACCUCCCAAGGCUAUAGCCCACCCGUUUUUGUGGCCUUUUUCCGCUGGAUGAACUUGGCGCCCCAGCCUUCGGGCUGUUAUUUUUUGGGCACGGCUUCGCCCGCGCCGUAUUUUUGGCACACGGAGGCCCCUUGCAAAGUCUCGCGGCAUUCCGAGUCCGGCUGACGAAGUUGGCCAGCCCCACCCCCCAAGGCUAUAGCCCACCCGUUUUUGUGGCCUUUUUCCUCUGGACGAACUUGGCCCCCCAGCCUUCGGGCGGUUAUUUUUUGGGCACGGCUUUACCCACGGUGUAUUUUUGGCAUAUGGUGGCCCCUCGCAAAGUCUCGCGGCAUUCCGAGUCCGGCGGACGAAGUUGGCCAGCCCCACCCCCCAAGGCUAUAGCCCACCCGUUUUUGUGGCCUUUUUCCGCUGGACGAACUUGGCGCCCCGGCCUUCGGGAGUUUAUUUUUGGGCGUGACUGUACCCGCGGCCUCUUUUUGGCACACGGAGUCGUCUCGCAAAGUCUCGCGCCAUUCCGAGUCCGGCGGACAAAGUGGGCCAGCCCCACCCCCCAAGGCUAUAGCCCAACCGUUUUUGUGGCCUUUUUCCGCUUGACGAACUUGGCGCCCCGGCCUUCGGGUGGUUAUUUUUAGGCGUGGCUGUGCCCACGGCCUAUUUUUGGCACACGGAGGUGCCUUGCAAAGUCUCGCGGCAUUCCGAGUCCGGCGGACGAAGUGGGCCAGCCCCACCCCCCAAGGCUAUAGCCCACCCGUUUUUGUGGCCUUUUUCCGCUGGACGAACUUGGCGCCCCGGCCUCCGGGCGGUUAUUUUUUGGCGCGGCUUUCCCCGCGGUCUAUUUUUGGCACACGGAGGCCCCUCGCAAGGUCUCGUCGCAUUCCGUGUCCGGCGGACGAGGUUGGCCAGCCCCACCCCCCAAGGCUAUAGCCCACCCGUUAUUGUGGCCUUUUUCCGCUGGACGAACUUGGCGCCCCGGCCUUCGGGCGGUUAUUUUUUGGCGCGGCUUUCCCCGCGGUCUAUUUUUGGCACACGGAGGCCCCUCGCAAGGUCUCGUCGCAUUCCGUGUCCGGCGGACGAGGUUGGCCAGCCCCACCCCCCAAGGCUAUAGCCCACCCGUUAUUGUGGCCUUUUUCCGUUGGACGAACUUGGCGCCCCGGCCUCCGGGCGGUUAUUUUUGGGCGCGGCUUUGCCCGCGGCCUAUUUUUGGCACACGGAGGCCCCUCACAAAGUCUCGCAGCAUUCCGAGUCCGGCGGACGAAGUUGGCCAGCCCCACCCCCCAAGGCUAUAGCCCACCCGUUUUUGUGGCCUUUUUCCGCUGGACGAACUUGGCGCCCCGGCCUUCGGGCGGUUAUUUUUUGGCGCGGCUUUCCCCACGGUCUAUUUUUGGCACAUGGAGGCCCCUCGUAAGGUCUCAUCGCAUUCCGUGUCCGGCGGACGAAGUUGGCCAGCCCCACCCCCCAAGGCUAUAGCCCACACGUUUUUGUGGCCUUUUUCCGCUGGACGAACUUGGCGCCCCGGCCUUCGGGCGGUUAUUUUUGGGCACGGCUUUGUCCGCGGCUUAUUUUUGGCACACGGAGGCCCCUCGCAAAGUCUCGAGGCAUUCCGAGUCCGGCGGACGAAGUGGGCCAGCCCCACCCCCAAAGGCUAUAGCCCACCCGUUUUUGUGGCCUUUUUCCGCUGGACGAACUUGGCGCCCCGGCCUUCGGGUGGUAAUCUUUGGGUACGGCUUUGUCCGCGACCUAUUUUUGGCACACGAAGGCCCCUCGCAAACUCUCGCGGUGUUCCGAGUCCGGCGGACGAAGUCGGCCAGCCCCACCCCCCAAGGCUAUAGCCCACCCGUUUUUGUGGCCUUUUUCCGGUGGACGAACUUGGCGCCCUGGCCUUCGGGCGGUUAUUUUUUGGACACUGCUUUGCCCGUGGCCUAUUUUUGGCACACGGAGGCCCCUCGUAAAGUCUCACGGCAUUCCGAGUCCGGCGGACUAAGUUGGCCAGCCCCACCCCCCAAGGCUAUAGCCCACCCGUUUUUGUGGCCUUUUUCCGCUGGACGAAGUUGGCGCCCCGGCCUUCGGGCGGUAAUUUUUUGGGCACGGCUUUGCCCGUGGCCUACUUUUGGCACAUGGAGGUCCCUCGCAAAGGCUCGCGGCAUUCCGAGUCCGGCGGACGAAGUCGGCCAGACCCACCCCCCAAGGCUAUAGCCCACCCGUUUUUGUGGCCUUUUUCCGCUGGACGAACCUGGCGCCCCGGCCUUCGGGCGGUUAUUUUUGGGCGCGACUUUGCCCGUGGCCUAUUUUUGGCACACGGAGGCCCCUCGUAAAGUCUUGCGGCAUUCCGAGUCUGGCGGAUGAAGUGGGCCAGCCCCACCCCCCAAGGCUACAGCCCACCCGUUUUUGUUGCCUUUUUCCGCUGGACGAACUUGGCGCCCCGGCCUUCGGCGGUUAUUUUUGUGCGCGGCUUUGCCCUUGGACUAUUUUUGGCACACGGAGGCCCCUCACAAACUCUCGCGCAAUUCCGAGUCCGGCGGACGAAGUUGGCCAGCCCCACCCCCAAGGCUAUACCCCACCCGCUUUUGUGGCCUUUUUCCGCAGGACGAACUUGGCGCCCCGGCCUUCGGGCGGUUAUUUUUGGGCGCGGCUUUGCCCGCAGCCUAUUUUUGUCACACGGAGGCCCCUUGCAAAGUCUCGCCGUGUCCGGCGGACGAAGUUGGAUAGCCCCACCCCCCAAGGCUAUAGCCCACCCGUUAUUGUGGCCUUUUUCCGUUGGACGAACUUGGCGCCCCGGCCUCCAGGCGGUUAUUUUUGGGCGCGGCUUUGCCCGCGGCCUAUUUUUGGCACACGGAGGCCCCUCACAAAGUCUCGCGGCAUUCCGAGUCCGGCGGACGAAGUUGUCCAGCCCCACCCCCCAAGGCUAUAGCCCACCCGUUUUUGUGGCCUUUUUCCGCUGGACGAACUUGGCGCCCCGGCCUUCGGGCGGUUAUUUUUUGGCGCGGCUUUGCCCGCGGUCUAUUUUUGGCACACGGAGGCCCCUCGCAAGGUCUCGUCGCAUUCCGUGUCCGGCGGACGAGGUUGGCCAGCCCCACCCCCCAAGGCUAUAGCCCACACGUUUUUGUGGCCUUUUUCCGCUGGACGAACUUGGCGCCCCGGCCUUCGGGCGGUUAUUUUUGGGCACGGCUUUGCCCGCCGCUUAUUUUUGGCACACGGAGGCCCCUCGCAAAGUCUCGAGGCAUUCCGAGUCCGGCGGACGAAGUGGGCCAGCCCCACCCCCAAAGGCUAUAGCCCACCCGUUUUUGUGGCCUUUUUCCGCUGGACGAACUUGGCGCCCCGGCCUUCGGGUGGUAAUUUUUGGGUACGGCUUUGUCCGCGACCUAUUUUUGGCACACGGAGGCCCCUCGCAAACUCUCGCGGUGUUCCGAGUCCGGCGGACGAAGUCGGCCAGCCCCACCCCCCAAGGCUAUAGCCCACCCGUUUUUGUGGCCUUUUUCCGGUGGACGAACUUGGCGCCCUGGCCUUCGGGCGGUUAUUUUUUGGACACUGCUUUGCCCGUGGCCUAUUUUUGGCACACGGAGGCCCCUCGCAAAGGCUCGUGGCAUUCCGAGUCCGGCGGACGAAGUCGGCCAGACCCACCCCCCAAGGCUAUAGCCCACCCGUUUUUGUGGCCUUUUUCCGCUGGACGAACCUGGCACCCCGGCCUUCGGGCGGUUAUUUUUGGGCGCGACUUUGCCCGCGGCCUAUUUUUGGCACACGGAGGCCCCUCGCAAAGUCUUGCGGCAUUCCGAGUCUGGCGGACGAAGUGGGCCAGCCCCACCCCCCAAGGCUAUAGCCCACCCGUUUUUGUGGCCUUUUUCCGCUGGACGAACUUGGCGCCCCGGCCUUCGGCGGUUAUUUUUGUGCGCGGCUUUGCCCUUGGACUAUUUUUGGCACACGGAGGCCCCUCACAAAGUCUCGCGCAAUUCCGAGUCCGGCGGACGAAGUUGGCCAGCCCCACCCCCAAGGCUAUACCCN